AGAAGGUGCUUUAUCUGCACAUGCACAUUUAUAUGUGCAGGGUAUACCCUGCACACAUAAAUGUGCAUGUGCAGAUAAAACACCUCUA
Molecule: non-coding RNA, 88 nt
Organism: Podarcis lilfordi (Lilford's wall lizard)
Lineage: Eukaryota; Metazoa; Chordata; Lepidosauria; Squamata; Lacertidae
Source: the annotation of a GenBank genome assembly